AGAACGAACGCUGGCGGCAUGCCUAACACAUGCAAGUCGAACGAGACCUUCGGGUCUAGUGGCGCACGGGUGCGUAUCGCGUGGGAACCUGCCCUUAGGUUCGGAAUAACUCCUCGAAAGGGGUGCUAAUACCGGAUGAUGUCUUCGGACCAAAGAUUUAUCGCCUAUGGAUGGGCCCGCGUUGGAUUAGCUAGUUGGUGAGGUAAAGGCUCACCAAGGCGACGAUCCAUAGCUGGUCUUAGAGGAUGAUCAGCCACACUGGGACUGAGACACGGCCCAGACUCCUACGGGAGGCAGCAGUGGGGAAUAUUGGACAAUGGGCGAAAGCCUGAUCCAGCAAUGCCGCGUGAGUGAUGGAAGGCCUUAAGGGUUGUAAAGCUACUUUUACCCGGGAUGAUAAUGACGAGUACCGGAGAAGUAACGCCCCGGACUAACCGUCCGCGCCAGCACGCCGC
RNAcentral lists this ribosomal RNA (455 nucleotides) under uncultured soil bacterium. RNAcentral's name for it is "bacterial SSU rRNA". It matches the Rfam family "Bacterial small subunit ribosomal RNA", at positions 26 to 518 of the family's 1533-position model. The record is from RNAcentral.